This 348-nucleotide unclassified non-coding RNA is filed under the name soil metagenome. RNAcentral's name for it is "partial contains 5.8S ribosomal RNA, internal transcribed spacer 2, and large subunit ribosomal RNA". The stretch from base 1 to 120 matches the Rfam family "5.8S ribosomal RNA", at positions 35 to 154 of the family's 154-position model. The record is from RNAcentral.
GAUGAAGAACGCAGCGAAAUGCGAUAAGUAGUGUGAAUUGCAGAAUUCAGUGAAUCAUCGAAUCUUUGAACGCACAUUGCGCCCGCCAGUAUUCUGGCGGGCAUGCCUGUCUGAGCGUCAUUUCAACCCUCAUGCCCCUAGGGCGUGGUGUUGGGGAUCGGCCAAAGCCCGCGAGGGACGGCCGGCCCCUAAAUCUAGUGGCGGACCCGUCGUGGCCUCCUCUGCGAAGUAGUGAUAUUCCGCAUCGGAGAGCGAUGAGCCCCUGCCGUUAAACCCCCAACUUUCCAAGGUUGACCUCAGAUCAGGUAGGAAUACCCGCUGAACUUAAGCAUAUCAAUAAGCGGAGGA